Molecule: ribosomal RNA, 423 nt
Filed under: Aoraki denticulata major
Lineage: Eukaryota; Metazoa; Arthropoda; Arachnida; Opiliones; Pettalidae
Description: partial 16S ribosomal RNA
Rfam family: Bacterial large subunit ribosomal RNA (bases 284-423)
Source: RNAcentral
UAAAUUGUUCAUUAAUUGUGAACUGGAAUGAAGGAAAAAAUGGUUUAAAUCUGUCUUUAAGUUUAUAAAUUGAAUUUAAAACUUUUGUAAAAAUACAAAAAUGUUUUUUAGGGACAAGAAGACCCUAUAAAGCUUUUGCUAUUUUUACUAUGUUUAUGGAAAAAAAGAGUUUAAUUGGGGCAAUGAUUUAUAAAUAAAAAAUAUAAAUUUAAUUUGUGGUAAGAAUAUAUAUAUAUUAUAAUUUUGAUCCAUUAUUAAUGAAAAAUGAUAAAGUUACUUUAGGGAUAACAGGAUAAUUUUUGUUAGAAAGAUCUUAUUGAUAACAAAGUUUAUUACCUCGAUGUUGAAUUAAUUUAACUUAAUGGUGAAGUAACUUUUUGAGUUUGACUGUUCGUCAGUUAAAUAAUUACAUGAUCUGAGUUC